Molecule: long non-coding RNA, 2246 nt
Organism: Astatotilapia calliptera (eastern happy)
Lineage: Eukaryota; Metazoa; Chordata; Actinopteri; Cichliformes; Cichlidae
Source: Ensembl
AAAUUAAGGAAUUGACACAAAACGACUUCCACAUUCCAUAAAAAUAUCAAUGAUAACAUUUAUAUUUAUUAUUUUUUAAUGAAAGCAGUUGUCUGUAUCUUUUAAAAGACAAAAACAGUCUGUGCAAGAUUUCCCACAAGGUAACCUGCGCAAUAGUGAGCAAGGCAGCGUAAACACGAGAACCACAGUGAAUGACAUCAAUAUCAAACCGACUCUAAACCUUUUUAAGUCUCCACGUGUGCUCGAUCAUCCAGGUAAGCAAAUUUUCAGGGAUCUCCAUUUUAAGGUUGCUAGUCUUGAUCUAGACUCUCUCCCUGAAUUGCCAGGGGUAAUCACAACACGUAAUCAGUUCUGGCACACAAUACAUCAACAUCAUACUUCCUUUGGUGUAUGGCUCAACACAAACCAUUGUUCCAACAAAGAAACAAAAAAGAAAGAAAGAAAAACAAAAACAUUUCUCUCAACCUUUUAACCUUUAGCUGGCUAGUGAAAAACUGAUUUAAAUCAAAGCUUUUUAACAAGUGACCAUUUUAUAAAAGACUAAUAUUGUCUCGUCUUUUAAUACAAUAACAUCAAAACCAAGAAAACUUACUCUGACCCAUGAAAACUACAAACUGUAUGAUAUCAAUAGAAUUCCACAGUGGCCUCUAAAGUGGCAACACCCAGCAAUGUGACAACCAGCCCCGGUUUCCCCACAUCUACCCUGCAAAGGAACUUCCACCCAAAUCUAAUGUAACUGGCAUCCUUAAAAUGGAUACAAGACUCAGAGUCCACAAGCACAGACACGUCCCUCAGCUUGAAAUUUGAGUGCUGAUAUUUGGACUUUGGAUUAAUCGCAUGCAUGCAGGCUUAGAGACCGAAAGAUUAACAGAAGCUAGCCACUUCACAGAAAACGUAAGGAAGACCAUUUAUAGAAAAGAAUCUUUGGUUUCUCCAAUGUCACACAUUUUUCUAUUUAAAGCAGAUUACACAACUUCCUUCUUAUACUGAAGAGAAACAUGUUCUUCUGAAGUUGUGUGAUGCCAUUACUACUAAGGGGAUCUGAAACUUCAGAGAGGGAAAUAAACCGUUUACGUCCAGCAGCAGACACAUGGCGCUCUUUGAGCCCGCUAUACCUCGGUUUUGAUUUCUGUUAGAUCAGCGACCCUAAUCAGUGAAACUUGAUCUGCCUUUACUCGCUUUGCUUCUGAAUCUUUGCUGGUAUUGCCUAAGUUUUGACACUGUCUCGACACCCUUGAAAAAAUAAUUUGCAGAAGUGGAUCUGAGAAACCGUUUGCUACGAAAUUCAAAAUUGUGAAAUUCCGAUCACAAAAUAUUAUGUGCUGGUAAUACUCGUACAGACGAAUGAGGUGCAUGUUGGUUACAGUAUAAUGACAAAAUGACAGAAGGGGAAAAUAACUAUAUAAAGAACACAAUAGUAUAUUAAGGAAAUUUGUUGCUGUUGUUCAAAAAUAUUUGGAAAUCCAUUUAAAAAUAUAGUUAUUCGGAGAAAAAGUGGACACUAAGGCACAGUUAGACAUUUUUCGAGAUUAUUGAAUAGGAAAAAAAACAUGUUUUACUCAUGCUCACUGAUUUGUGUGCAGUUACAUCUGCACAUGACAUACAUUUCAAACAUACUCAGAGUUCCUCGAACUUCUCUGAUUAGCUGUUCUGGAACUGAAAUUGCAAUCUCAGAGGUAAUAAACUCAGAGUUUAUUUUUAAAGUCGAAGUUUUCAUACUUUAAAGAAUAAAAGACAGACAGCAUCAAAUGGCUUGUUUGGUCCAAUCUUGUGAAACAGUCGAGGACAGAAACAUAAACAGUUAGUUCUCUAUAUCUAUUAUCCGUCUAUAUUUCACACAAUAUUAAGUUUGCAUUAUUUAUUAUACAGUCUUCUUAAAAUUAACACGAUGAUAAACAUAUGGAGAAAAUACUUACUCACUUUUUUUGCUGAGACUUAGAGCAAAAAAAAGUAAGUAUAAAUAUGUCUGUGAAGGUUCUCAGUCAUCCAGGUCAUCGUAGUCAAAGGAGCUUGCAAAGAAAAGCGUCUGGACUUCUUUAAGUUACUUGAAGACAUUUCACCUCUCAUCCGAGAAGCUUCUUCAGUUCUAAGGUCAAAUGGUGGAGAGUCCCAGAUAUAAACCUAGUGGGAGUUUCCCCCCACAGAGGGACAAAAGGACCCCCUGAUGAUCCUCUAAUCGCCUGAGCCAAGGUGUGAAACUGGGUGUGGGUCCCAAUCAGCCAGAGUUUCGGGUGAGUUCAUUGUGA